GUUUAAACCUUUAAUUUAAGACUGUUCCCUCAACUGCUCACAAAGUUUCAUGUUAUAUUAUGGUAUCCAGUUGAAUUGCAAACUGUGAGUUCAUUUUUGAUGCAAUGUCACAUAUGAGAACAUGUAAUCUUGGGGUCAGUGAAGAUUUUAGGAAAUUAUGGUUUAUGUUUCUAAACCCAAAUAUCUGGUUUUCUGUAGAAAUCAAGCAAUCAACUGAAAUGUUCCCAUAAACCUCUCUCCUGACAUUUACCAGUAAAUCUCCUUUCCCAGAAGCAAUUCUUCCUACCUAAAAACCAAAAGUGCUCCAUGCAAAAAAUGAUCUUACAAUUUAAUUAAUGUUACAAAACGCAGCCACCACAAAAUGUGAGUCUCUCCCCGACUACACAUAAACCAAUUAGACAUAAAAAAGUAAACUGGGUAGUUUGUACUACCACCAGUUAAGAUGGUGAAGUGCUUACAGAUCAACUUAACAUAACAUUCAGGGAUAUAAUUUCUUAUUAGUGGGGUAAUAGCUGCUUGAUCCAAGAAGACACCUGACUGCUAUUUUGGGGUCAAGAAGGAAUUUUUUCCUAGUUUGUGGCAAAAUUGGAAGUGCUUCAGACUAGGUUUUUUGCCUUCUUUUGGAUGAACAGCAAAAACAUAUGUGAGGAAGGCUGAACUUGAUGGACGCAAGUCUCUUUUCAGCUAUGUAACUAUGUAACUUACCCUUGUAACUUAAGGGAUAAUUAUACAGCAAUAUACUAAAUGGAAAAUAAAACUAUAUAGUGUAGUAUAUUAAGUACUCAAGUGUAUGAAUAAAUAUAUAUACCAUACACUCACAUAUAUUAGAGCCAAACAAGGACAUGCUCAAAUCUCAUCCAUUUUUGAGAUUUGAGCCGGUCCAUGUUUGGCUCUAAUCUAUGUGAGCGUAUGGAAUUCUACCUACUUGUCUGUUUAUGCUACAGUAUAAUGCUUGAUGCAUGGUGAUACCGGACCACGCUGCAACAAGUUUACUGGUGUGCAACAUGCUCAGUAGUUACUCACGUCUUCAGGAUUGGUAGCUGUACUGUGGCCGACACUGAUUAUGUCACAGGAAGCCUAUGAUUGCCACAAUAGCACCAAUGAGAUUGUCUUCCAAUCACUGAUCUAAAGUUUAGGAGUGCAUUGGAUGGGAAUCCGGUAUGUAGGGUACUCUACUGUAAGAUCAAUGUUUGAAACAUAUUCAGAACAUCCCGUUUCUGCGUGUUCAAACCAACAAAUUGAUAUAGAAAAAAGUAAUUAGAGCUACAAAUAGAACAUGCAUUCCUUAAUAGUGAUAACACUGAGAAGAACUAAACGUAUAUAAAACACAUCUUCAUGGAACAGCUCCUCCAUAGAUAUCUGCAAGGGUGCAGCAGUGACGUGGGCUUGUGGCAUUUGAAGAAUUAUAAGUUGCAGAAGAAAGUGGGGGUGUCAUAAUAUGGAAGGACCGCUGAAAGUGGCAGACCUGCUUUCUUAUGGAUACUUAUAAUAGUUUGACGAAAUCCUCUUUUUUUUAAAUGUUAUUUUAAGUAGUCUUGCAAGAUUUGUAUAUUUUUAUGCGUGCACUGCUCUCUCCAUGCAACGUCCAUUUUCACCAAAUUUAACAUAAUUUUUAUAAUUUCAUAAAAAUUUAAAAUAGAAUGUUCGGUUGAAUAUUGCUGCAGACUGUCUUUAGUAAUAUGUUAUUUUGCAAUAUCUUGCUAGAAGCCGAGGUGUGCAGUAUGAAAUAAAUACAUUUAAUUGCAUCUUGUUAUGGCACUUAUUAUAUUUUACAACCUGUAAAAUGUUUAACCCACGCGCAGGUGUUCUUUUGACCUCGUUUUGUCUUUUAAAGGGCAACUUUUAAACAUGUAGUAUGUGAGAAGUUUGCACAGCAAUUCAAGAGAAUAACUGUAGACCUAAUGUAUGCAGAGGAUCAAAGUGUAUAAGCUGUUAUUUAUUCUCCUGAUUUAUUUCUAAAAUUAGUAGUUAAACUUCAAACACCUUUGUAUACAGAAUGUUGUACAUUUAGGGUGAAUGAAUAGUUACGUUUCUUUUUUUCCCCAAAAAUAAAAACGUUGGAC
Molecule: long non-coding RNA, 2063 nt
Filed under: Pelobates cultripes (western spadefoot toad)
Lineage: Eukaryota; Metazoa; Chordata; Amphibia; Anura; Pelobatidae
Source: RNAcentral